This 253-nucleotide ribosomal RNA is filed under the name uncultured bacterium. RNAcentral's name for it is "partial 16S ribosomal RNA". It matches the Rfam family "Bacterial small subunit ribosomal RNA", at positions 524 to 776 of the family's 1533-position model. The record is from RNAcentral.
UACAGAGGUGGCAAGCGUUGUUCGGAAUUACUGGGCGUAAAGGGCGCGUAGGCGGCCUUCUAAGUCGAACGUGAAAUCCCCAGGCUUAACCUGGGAACUGCAUCCGAUACUGGAUGGCUUGAAUCCGGGAGAGGGAUGCAGAAUUCCAGGUGUAGCGGUGAAAUGCGUAGAUAUCUGGAGGAAUACCGGUGGCGAAGGCGGCAUCCUGGACCAACACUGACGCUGAGGCGCGAAAGCUAGGGGAGCAAACGGG